UGCUGCUACCAGGGUACUACAGCUGAUUCUUUUGUACUUCAUUAAAAAUCAACUAUACUGUCUCCUGCUUUGGCUUCUCUUCAGCCAUGCCAGAAUAUUAUCUGCUCUGCUUCCAAGAUGACAGAGAACAGCUAGUCUGAGGAACUGCGGCAAGCCAGUUGCAUGUGAGAGGAAAGAUAUAUGUGGGAAGAGAGAUGCAUUUCAUGGUAUUUUGCUACUUGAGAUGGUUUGGAGUUUUGGAGUAAUUGAUAAGAAAGAUGUCAUGUAUUUAAUGUAUCUGAAACACACUAAGGGAAAUGGUAGAAUACUUUUCCACAAAUGGGUGAACAUCUCAGAACACCGAGCUUCUUUUUGUCCAGAGUUGAUAUGAAAAUAAAGUUCCUUUCUCCGAA
Long non-coding RNA from Mastomys coucha (southern multimammate mouse), 392 nucleotides. RefSeq lists it as uncharacterized. Lineage: Eukaryota; Metazoa; Chordata; Mammalia; Rodentia; Muridae. The transcript has 2 exons. The record is from RefSeq and is a predicted model, not a curated record.